RNAcentral lists this ribosomal RNA (424 nucleotides) under uncultured bacterium. RNAcentral's name for it is "partial 16S ribosomal RNA". It matches the Rfam family "Bacterial small subunit ribosomal RNA", at positions 355 to 770 of the family's 1533-position model. The record is from RNAcentral.
UGGGGAAUAUUGGACAAUGGGCGAAAGCCUGAUCCAGCCAUGCCGCGUGUGUGAAGAAGGUCUUCGGAUUGUAAAGCACUUUAAGUUGGGAGGAAGGGCAGUAAAUUAAUACUUUGCUGUUUUUGACGUUACCGACAGAAUAAGCACCGGCUAACUCUGUGCCAGCAGCCGCGGUAAUACAGAGGGUGCAAGCGUUAAUCGGAAUUACUGGGCGUAAAGCGCGCGUAGGUGGUUCGUUAAGUUGGAUGUGAAAUCCCCGGGCUCAACCUGGGAACUGCAUUCAAAACUGACGAGCUAGAGUAUGGUAGAGGGUGGUGGAAUUUCCUGUGUAGCGGUGAAAUGCGUAGAUAUAGGAAGGAACACCAGUGGCGAAGGCGACCACCUGGACUGAUACUGACACUGAGGUGCGAAAGCGUGGGGAGCA